ACAAGCUGACCCUCAGAUAUACCCUCAGAACCUGAAUCAAGUUCAAAUUUUAGAAGCAGUAUCAACAACAGAAUCAGAUUCAUGUUCAGUGCAUGGAGAACAAACAUUCAUAUGUGAUAGCAAAAAGUGGUUCUCAUCAUGCAAAGAAAGAGAAUUAAAAGGAUGCUCAUCAACAAUACAAUAAUCAACAUACCCAUCAUCAGCAUAAUCAUCAA
RNAcentral lists this long non-coding RNA (215 nucleotides) under Vigna radiata. RNAcentral describes it as "long non-coding RNA (VRAD_LNC004821)". Lineage: Eukaryota; Viridiplantae; Streptophyta; Magnoliopsida; Fabales; Fabaceae. The record is from RNAcentral.